UUGGAGGGCAAGUCUGGUGCCAGCAGCCGCGGUAAUUCCAGCUCCAAUAGCGUAUAUUAAAGUUGUUGCAGUUAAAAAGCUCGUAGUUGAAUUUCGGGAUCAGUACGCUGGUCGUGCCUUGGUAUGUACCGGUGUUACUGGUUCCUACCUUCUGACGAACCGUCAUGUCAUUAAUUUGGUGCGGCGGGAAAUCAGGACUGUUACUUUGAAAAAUCAGAGUGUUUAAAGCAGGCUCGCGCUUGAAUAUAUUAGCAUGGAAUAAUGAAAUAGGACGUUCGAUCCUAUUUUGUUGGUUUCUAGGAUUGACGUAAUGAUUAAUAGGGAUAGUUGGGGGCAUUAGUAUUCAAUUGUCAGAGGUGAAGUCUUGUAGUA
Molecule: ribosomal RNA, 372 nt
Filed under: uncultured Glomeraceae
Lineage: Eukaryota; Fungi; Glomeromycota; Glomeromycetes; Glomerales; Glomeraceae
Description: SSU rRNA
Rfam family: Eukaryotic small subunit ribosomal RNA
Source: RNAcentral